Long non-coding RNA from Strigops habroptila (Kakapo), 519 nucleotides. RefSeq lists it as uncharacterized. NCBI's taxonomy places the organism in Eukaryota, Metazoa, Chordata, Aves, Psittaciformes, Psittacidae. The record is from RefSeq and is a predicted model, not a curated record. The transcript is spliced from 3 exons.
CACAAUCUAGAAGAAAGAAAACAUAGUUAGAUACUUUAAACCUGUAUCCCUCAUCAGUGUCACAUGAAGGCAAAAUGAGUCACAUCUUAAAAUAGAUUUUGCACACUCACUACAAAGAUUAUAGUUUUGCACUGAAACACUUGUUCUGCCUCACUAUCAAGCAUGAUUUUGAAAUGCCUACUCACAAUAUAGUGAAAAACUGCACCCACUUUAUAACUUGUAAAGAAACAAUUAAUUCAUUCUCAAGUAAUGAGACUCAAGUAAUGAUUCUCAAGCAAGGACUUCAGUGUCCACUGGCGUUCCUGUAACAUACCACUAUGCUAGCAGUGUGGUUGUUCGUUGUGGAGGUGUGCGACAGGCUUACAGGAAUGCAAUUACAGUAUUCGGAACCAGAGGGGUCAAAUUAACUGUUUUGCCCAGGACUGACUAGCACUGAGCUAAGUAUUUUCUAAUUUUCUGCUCAUGACAUUAAUGUUGGGGUUUUGUUUGGUUGUUUUUUGUUUCCUUGGGUUUGCCUUU